RNAcentral lists this ribosomal RNA (447 nucleotides) under uncultured bacterium. RNAcentral's name for it is "partial 16S ribosomal RNA". It matches the Rfam family "Bacterial small subunit ribosomal RNA", at positions 29 to 523 of the family's 1533-position model. The record is from RNAcentral.
AACGAACGCUGGCGGCAGGCUUAACACAUGCAAGUCGAACGCCCCGCAAGGGGAGUGGCAGACGGGUGAGUAACACGUGGGAACGUGCCCUAAGGUUAGGAAUAUUCCCGGGAAACUGGGGGCAAUACCGAAUGUGUCCGAGAGGAGAAAGAUUUAUCGCCUUAGGAUCGGCCCGCGUCGGAUUAGCUAGUUGGUGGGGUAAUGGCCUACCAAGGCGACGAUCCGUAGCUGGUCUGAGAGGACGACCAGCCACACUGGGACUGAGACACGGCCCAGACUCCUACGGGAGGCAGCAGUGGGGAAUCUUGGACAAUGGGCGCAAGCCUGAUCCAGCCAUGCCGCGUGGAUGAUGAAGGCCUUAGGGUUGUAAAAUCCUUUCGCCGAGGACGAUAAUGACGGUACUCGGAGAAGAAGCUCCGGCUAACUUCGUGCCAGCCGCCGCCGUAA